CGGGUGAGUAAUGCUUGGGAAUCUAGCUUAUGGAGGGGGAUAACUACGGGAAACUGUAGCUAAUACCGCGUAGAAUCGGGAGAUGAAAGUGUGGGACCUUCGGGCCACAUGCCAUAGGAUGAGCCCAAGUGGGAUUAGGUAGUUGGUGAGGUAAAGGCUCACCAAGCCGACGACCUCUAGCUGGUCUGAGAGGAUGACCAGCCACACUGGGACUGAGACACGGCCCAG
This 228-nucleotide ribosomal RNA is filed under the name uncultured bacterium. RNAcentral describes it as "partial 16S ribosomal RNA". It matches the Rfam family "Bacterial small subunit ribosomal RNA", at positions 103 to 334 of the family's 1533-position model. The record is from RNAcentral.